This 497-nucleotide ribosomal RNA is filed under the name Citrobacter freundii. Its description in RNAcentral is "bacterial SSU rRNA". It matches the Rfam family "Bacterial small subunit ribosomal RNA", at positions 38 to 519 of the family's 1533-position model. Lineage: Bacteria; Pseudomonadati; Pseudomonadota; Gammaproteobacteria; Enterobacterales; Enterobacteriaceae. The record is from RNAcentral.
CGACCAGGGGGGGCAGCUAAACAUGCAAGUCGAACGGUAGCACAGAGGAGCUUGCUCCUUGGGUGACGAGUGGCGGACGGGUGAGUAAUGUCUGGGAAACUGCCCGAUGGAGGGGGAUAACUACUGGAAACGGUAGCUAAUACCGCAUAACGUCGCAAGACCAAAGAGGGGGACCUUCGGGCCUCUUGCCAUCGGAUGUGCCCAGAUGGGAUUAGCUAGUAGGUGGGGUAACGGCUCACCUAGGCGACGAUCCCUAGCUGGUCUGAGAGGAUGACCAGCCACACUGGAACUGAGACACGGUCCAGACUCCUACGGGAGGCAGCAGUGGGGAAUAUUGCACAAUGGGCGCAAGCCUGAUGCAGCCAUGCCGCGUGUAUGAAGAAGGCCUUCGGGUUGUAAAGUACUUUCAGCGAGGAGGAAGGCGUUGUGGUUAAUAACCUUAGUGAUUGACGUUACUCGCAGAAGAAGCACCGGCUAACUCUGUGCCAGCAGCCGCU